Molecule: ribosomal RNA, 287 nt
Filed under: uncultured bacterium
Lineage: Bacteria
Description: partial 16S ribosomal RNA
Rfam family: Bacterial small subunit ribosomal RNA
Source: RNAcentral
AACAAUUGGAAACGAAUGCUAAUACCCCAUAUGCUUUUGAGUGAAAUGGAUUUAUAUUUAUCUGCCUAGAGAGAAGCUCGCGGCUGAUUAGCUUGUUGGUAAGUAAGAGCUUACCAAGGCGACGAUCAGUAUCUGGUUUGAGAGGACGAUCAGACACACUGGAACUGAGACACGGUCCAGACUCCUACGGGAGGCAGCAGUGGGGAAUUUUCCGCAAUGGGCGAAAGCCUGACGGAGCAAUACCGCGUGAGGGAAGACUGCCUAUGGGUUGUAAACCUCUUUUUUCA